RNAcentral lists this ribosomal RNA (460 nucleotides) under uncultured bacterium. RNAcentral describes it as "partial 16S ribosomal RNA". It matches the Rfam family "Bacterial small subunit ribosomal RNA", at positions 338 to 795 of the family's 1533-position model. The record is from RNAcentral.
CCUACGGGAGGCAGCAGUGAGGAAUAUUGGUCAAUGGACGCAAGUCUGAACCAGCCAUGCCGCGUGCAGGAAGACGGCUCUAUGAGUUGUAAACUGCUUUUGUACGAGGGUAAAUCCCGAUACGUGUAUCGUGUUGAAAGUAUCGUACGAAUAAGGAUCGGCUAACUCCGUGCCAGCAGCCGCGGUAAUACGGAGGAUUCAAGCGUUAUCCGGAUUUAUUGGGUUUAAAGGGUGCGUAGGCGGUUCGAUAAGUUAGAGGUGAAAUCCCGGGGCUCAACUCCGGCACUGCCUCUGAUACUGUCGGGCUAGAGUUUAGUUGCGGUAGGCGGAAUGUAUGGUGUAGCGGUGAAAUGCAUAGAGAUCAUACAAAACACCGAUUGCGAAGGCAGCUUACCAAACUACGACUGACGUUGAGGCACGAAAGCGUGGGGAGCAAACAGGAUUAGAUACCCCAGUAGUC